AUUGCCCUAGUAACGGCGAGUGAAGCGGCAACAGCUCAAAUUUGAAAUCUGGCCCUCGGGUCCGAGUUGUAAUUUGUAGAGGAUGUUUUUGGUGAGGUACCUUCCGAGUUCCCUGGAACGGGACGCCAUAGAGGGUGAGAGCCCCGUCUGGUUGGAUACCGAUCCUCUGUAAAACUCCUUCAACGAGUCGAGUAGUUUGGGAAUGCUGCUCUAAAUGGGAGGUAUAUGUCUUCUAAAGCUAAAUAUUGGCCAGAGACCGAUAGCGCACAAGUAGAGUGAUCGAAAGAUGAAAAGCACUUUGAAAAGAGAGUUAAAAAGUACGUGAAAUUGUUGAAAGGGAAGCGCUUAUGACCAGACUUGGACUUGGUUGAUCAUCCUGGGUUCUCCCUGGUGCACUCUUCCAGUUCAGGCCAGCAUCAGUUCAUCGCGGGGGAUAAAGGCUUCGGGAAUGUGGCUCCCUCGGGAGUGUUAUAGCCCGUUGUGUAAUACCCUGCUUUGGACUGAGGUUCGCGCAUCUGCAAGGAUGCUGGCGUAAUGGUCAUCAGCGACCCGUCUUGAAACACGGACCAAGGAGUCGUCUUCGUAUGCGAGUGUUCGGGUGUUAAACCCCUACGCGUAAUGAAAGUGAACGCAGGUGAGAGCUUCGGCGCAUCAUCGACCGAUCCUGAUGUUCUCGGAUGGAUUUGAGUAAGAGCAUACGGGGCCGGACCCGAAAGAAGGUGAACUAUGCUUGUAUAGGGUGAAGCCAGAGGAAACUCUGGUGGAGGCUCGCAGCGGUUCUGACGUGCAAAUCGAUCGUCAAAUAUGAGCA
RNAcentral lists this ribosomal RNA (811 nucleotides) under Cylindrocladiella queenslandica. RNAcentral describes it as "LSU rRNA". It matches the Rfam family "Eukaryotic large subunit ribosomal RNA", at positions 74 to 917 of the family's 3401-position model. The record is from RNAcentral. Lineage: Eukaryota; Fungi; Ascomycota; Sordariomycetes; Hypocreales; Nectriaceae.